Molecule: long non-coding RNA, 289 nt
Organism: Orussus abietinus
Lineage: Eukaryota; Metazoa; Arthropoda; Insecta; Hymenoptera; Orussidae
Exons: 3
Source: RefSeq, a predicted model, not a curated record
CUAGUCCUGGGGGUAUUUCGGACGAUUCCACGUGAUAACGGAGGAUAACUCGAAGCUACUUUCGUCGAUAGACUCGCCAGGCGCUCUUUCUCCGCACGAGUCGCACAUCGAGUUGACCAGGAAUACCUGAAGCACGAAACGCAAUCCCUCGUGUCUAGUAAUCCAAGAAGCGGCGAGCGACCGGGACCCGGGCGACCUCGAAACCGGCGCCUGGGAGAGGGACCAGGGUGCAGCUCACCCGGAAAGCAGCGAUCGGCGUCUUCGGCAGCAUGGGGUACCAUGGCCGGGC